CAAAAAACCAAUUUUCUCCCCCACGAGCCCCUCCUCCCUUCCAGAUCCGCACCGUCAGCUCCCUUCUGAGGAGCUCGCCGCCGUCCUCCUCCUCUUACCCAUGGCCUCCCCCACGCCCUCCUCCUCCUGCUCUUCGUGUUCCUCGCCGUGUCCGGGCCGGUCAGGCCCGCAACAGUCGGUCUCUCUAUCUCUCUCUGUCCAUAACACCAGACCGAGAGGGGUUCUGUUCCCCAACCGGCGCCACCCGAAACCCCUUUGACGGCCGGACCGCCGUCGCCCGUCGCCGCGCCCCUUCCCGGAGGACGCCAUAGUAUUGUGGCAUCCCCUCCACACCCGCUUGCAUUAGGCGGUGGGCACCUCGCUCGCGGUGUUCACCAGCAGGGGGGAGAGGUACUCGAUUCGGCCGCCGGCAGUGGAGGGAGGAACGCCAAGAUGUCGGAUUUCCAAACCUCCACCCACCGGGAGCGGUGGAUCCUCCAGACGCAGGACCUGGUAGUGCACGGUGGACAAGAUGUUGAUCAAGGGAAUCCGGAGCUUCGGCCCAGUGAGCAAGAACGUCAUCACCUUCUUCAGGCCGCUCACCCUCAUCGUCGGCUCCAACGGAGCCGGCAAAACCGUAAUGCCCACCAACCCAAUCUACUGCAUCCUAUAUAUUCCACCAUGUGGUGUGUGUAUGCACCGGCCGGCUGGCUUGGGUUCUUUUGGAUUCCCGCAGAUGAUCAUCGAGUGCCUGAAGCUGUCCUACACUGGCGAGCUGCCCCCCAACUCCCGCUCCGGCCACACCUUCGUCCAUGACCCCAAGGUGGCAGGCGAAACCGAAACGAAACAGCAGAUCAAGCUGCGGUUUAAGACGGCGGCAGGAAAGGAUGUGGUGUGCAUCCACUCUUUCCAGCUUACCCAGAAGGCAUCAACGAUGGAGUUCAAGGCAACCGAGAGCGUCCUCCAGACCAUAAAUCCACACAUGGGCGAGGUGGAUAAAUGGACAAGGCGAACCGGCGUUCCGCGCAGAUACUUGCCCAGUAUGGGACGACGAGAUUGAAGGUGGACCCUGUGGAUUGCUGGAUAUCAAACCCAGAACCUGUGCCUGAUGGUACAGUAUGGGACGACGAGAUUGAAGGUGGACCCUGUUGAUUGCUGGAUAUCAAACCCAGAACCUGUGCCUGAUGGUACAGUUGUUGGAAGCUCGAGUGUGAAGCCUCUAUCCUGCAAAGAGGAGCAAGUGAUGCGGAUAUUUUACGAGCAAAAGAUUCAGGAAGUGUGCAGAGCAUUCAAAUUCCCCCACAAAAUUCAGGCUACAACUAUAAUAUAUUUCAAGAGAUUCUAUCUACCGUGGUCUGUAAUGGAGCACCACCCAAAGAAUAUUAUGUAAGCAGCAUUAGACAACCUGCAGUUGCUUGUUCACAGUUGCCCCUUGUGUGAAAAUCAUGCGCAGGACGUUUCCAUGAUUCAUUUAGGCAGGCUGUUCGGCUUAACUUUCCUCUUAAGUAUUAUGAUCUGUGCCAUUACAUGUUCAUACUUUAUUCACCAAAAGUCUCAACAACUGCCUAGCCAUUUCAUCUGUUGAAGCUGAUUUUGCUUUCCGCUGAUGUCCAUGUCAAGUGCAUUUGCUUACAUGAAUCUCUCCCUGCCCGCGCCAUCCUUUGACCUACCAGACAUUGCAGAUCUUUUUGAUCCCCCCUCUCUCCCAACACAGGUUCUGCUGGUAUCAUGGGAAGUUCAUCAAGGAAAAGAGAAUCAAAUGGAUCAUCCAUUCAAGAUCAGUUUAAACCUUUUCUGGACACCUAUUUUACUGGAGUGAACUCCAUUGUUAGCAGAUGUGCCAAUGUUCUAUUGUACAAUUUUGUCCGUUCUUGCUAUAUUCCUGUGUAAGGAAAUUUAUUCAUAAGAUGAGUUAUUAUGUUAUGUAAACCUGAGAGAUGUAUUAUGUGAUGUUAUAUGAUGGAUGAUUUUAAUUUGA
Molecule: RNA transcript, 1957 nt
Organism: Hordeum vulgare subsp. vulgare (domesticated barley)
Lineage: Eukaryota; Viridiplantae; Streptophyta; Magnoliopsida; Poales; Poaceae
Gene name: cyclin-H1-1-like
Exons: 9
Source: RefSeq, a predicted model, not a curated record